Rattus norvegicus (Norway rat) is the source of this 7926-nucleotide non-coding RNA. NCBI's taxonomy places the organism in Eukaryota, Metazoa, Chordata, Mammalia, Rodentia, Muridae. The record is from RefSeq and is a predicted model, not a curated record.
AACACGGGCUCCCAUUGGCCAAUUAGCGAUGUGACGUGACCAAAGGAGAGCGGCGUUACUGGGGGGCUCCAGAACGCCGGGCAGUGGGCGGGGCUUCGUGUGGGCGUGUCCUCCCGUAGUGGGAGAGCCCUAGGACCUUGAGCUGCGCGCUAGCAUGAGCUGGUGGCGGGGAGUGGUGCGCUCUGUUUGGAGUGCCUUGUCCAGGGAGGUAAGGGAGCACGUGGGCACGGACCAUCUGGGGAACAAAUACUACUACGUCGCCGAGUACAAGAACUGGAGAGGGCAGACUAUGCGAGAGAAAAGGAUUGUAGAAACAGCAAACAGAACCGAGGUAGACUAUGAAGCAGGAGACAUCCCAACAGAGUGGGAAGCAUGGAUAAGAAGAAAAAGAAAGACUCCACCUACUAUGGAGGACAGCCUUCAUGUAUGUGGCUUCUCAAGCUCUGUGCAUCGCUUGCCCCAUUCAUCUUCCAUCUCCAGCAGCCAGCAGAUGAGUCAGUAAAUGUUAGCAGCCACUCACCGUGGACUCCUGUUCUCCUGGCUUUUGCUUCUCUGCCAUGUCACUGCCUUUCUAGGAAGAAAGCCACGGAGUUCCAACAUUGUCUUGUCUUCCGAAGAUUUUUAAUCCCUGCCUCCCUUCACAUAAGAGAGCAACGUUUUCUUUGUCUCCUACCAAAGUAGUUCAAUUAAAUAGGACUAAAGCUAAGUAUCUUUAAUUAUUUUCUAUUAGUGUUUAACUACUACGUUUUUCUAUUAAAUAAUGGUGUCUUUAUGCUCAGGUUUUUUGAAUGUAUUCAUGGGGAAGUUCAUUUCUUUUAUUCAAGGAAAUACCAGCACAAAACUAUUAAUGACUUAAGCUCUGUGAUUAGUUCGUUUUUGUGACAUUUCAAGAUUUAAUUAUUAAUCUGGCUCAAGUUCAAAGACAGAAAACUCAGUGCCAGAAAUUCCUAACCAGCAAAGAAUAUAAACAAACCUUACAAUUGUCCCCUCCAAUAACAAGAACCAGUGAGAUUAACUUCUUGUAAUUAGAGACACUUUGGGGGAAAAUGACAGAAGGGAGAGUUCAAGAAAGCAUGUCAAAACAAAAAACUCGGUGUGUAUUUUCAUUGCUGUAACUGAUCAGAGGAUGUUUGCAGUGGAUUUGAAAGUGCAUAAAUUAACUGUGACAUUGAUUUGGCAGAGGUGCAGAAGUGACUGGCAAGAACACACAGUGGAGCAGCAUGUGCUGGAGCAUACCUCCCCUGGCUGUUAUGCAGAGAUGUCCUUGUGCUAGCAUUCUGACCUGAGUGCUGGAGCCUACUUACUCACCCUUCUGGGUCAUCCUAGCUGAGCAAGACCAAUCCAUCACUGGUUAACAAAUCAGCCCUCUCCUUGGGUCUGAACACAGAAUACCUUAGGGGGACCUAGGCACCUCCCCCUUUUCUUUCUUUUCUAGACUGAAAAGGGGGUGAUCUAGUAACUCACUGUUUCAUCCCAACAGUUCACCUUGUACAACCAAGAAGGUAGUUUGAGCAACUGAGGGGCAUUUUCACACUUCAACAACAGUGCGUUUGGUAGGAUUAAGUUUGUCUCCCCGUGUUACAAAAUUGAUGUAAAAAAGGAGGUGGGCUAUAGCACUGUGGUAGUGGUAGAGGCCAUGAGUUCAAUCCCAGCCUCCACACACACGCACAAUGUACAUAUUCAGCUUCAAGUUCCCACUGUAGGAUGCUGAGAUGUGGAUCUCUGAGGUAUAUUAGUAGUGUGACACACUCCCAUCUUUGUGGUUAUCUGUAGUGUGGCAUUCACAAACAUACUGCUGGCCAAAUUUCACUUUUAACCUAUUGAUUAAAUCCUAAGUUAUUCCUCCGCAAGUAUAGUUUAACUCAUGAAAUGGAACUAGUGGAACUAGUACAAUUAGGCUUAUCCUGUCUGUGGUGUGUGUCUGAUAAGAGAUUAAAAUGUACAUAAAUUUUAGAGCAUAUACUUAGUAAUGUAAGCAUUUUAGAAUUAUGUCUUUCUAUGAGACCAAAAUUUCCCUUAUAUUUUUAUCUUACAUGUUCUCCUAUAUAUAUAGUGCCAAUUACUGUAUUAUAUGUAUUUUAACUUUAAGUGCUAACAUUUUAAAAAUUCCCAUUCUCAUUUUCUAUCUGUAGUAUAAUUUGAACUUCAUAAAAUUCAACAACAAAAACAGUUUUGUUCCUAUAGAGAAAUAUAAGAAUGGUAUGUGCCUGAAUCUGGCUGACUUCUAAGGCUUACUUGUUUGUACAUAAAAACUUUUCUAACAAUGAAAUGCCGUUGAAUUUAUUUAAACUGUAUUUUGAUUUUUCAGCAUGUUUUUUGAACCUACAUUUAACAUACUUGUGUACAUAGAAGUGUCAAGUACUGGUAGCUACAUAUACCUCAGGAAUGGGAGCUUGCACUUAAAAUCAGGCUCUGACAUGAAAUGGACGAGAGUCUUUAACCUGUCUUGGCUUUUUUUUUCCUGAUUAGAUUUCUAGGAAUUUGAAAGCAAAUGUGAUAACAGCUAAUGAAAGACUGUGUCCUCAACCAUCCUCUCCAUGUGAAAAGGACAUGGCUGAGGGUGUGACCCAGUGGCAGAGUGCAUGCUUAUCCUGUAAGAGGCCCUGGUUCAGUCCCACAAUCCCUCCCCUCAGAAUCAUAACAGUGACUUUGAAGGCCGUUAUUGUGGAACCUUUUAAAUUGGACACGAACAUCAUAUCGUCGGCAUCACACAGACAUAUACAUGAAAGCAUUACAGAAGGGCUUCUUGAUAGACUAAGGCUCUGUUGCUGUGGUUUAUUAUUUUAAAAAUAAACACUGAGCAGGGGUGGGAUCUCAAAUAACAUAAUGGAGACAGCCAUCUAUUCUGAUCAUGCAUGCAUCACAACACAAAAUGUAAGGAAGUCCAGUGGCUCACGCUGCUGUGAGGGCUGCACUGUUGCUAGGUUCACUGCUAACAGUGCUCCUCGAUGCUGUAGCUGAGGACCAAGACCUCACUUACAUACUCGGCUGCCCUUACUAGCGCAGACUCAGAAUCGUUCAUUUGCACACUAUUCUAGUGGCAGCCUCAGAGACAGAAGAACUUGAGAUGGAAGAUUCUGGUUAAUCUUUAGGACUUGCUCAGGUAUUUCUUGGCCUGUCCUUGUCCCCAGAACCCAUCGAGUCAUCGAAGCUUUGAUCCAUCCAUGGCAGCUUCCUCAGGGAGCAUGUACCAGCUCUCCCUUCUCUCUCAGAUUUAGAGUUCUGUCCAAGGCUCAGCUUUACGCUGCCUGGGUUUCCUUCUCUCUCAGGAUACACUAUUACAGGGACCUUUUCUCUAUUCUGCCAUUCGCUUUACCUCCUUUUAUCGUCUACAUUUCUAUCUCUUUCACUUAAGAUUUCCUACAGCCAUAACUAUAUGGUAGAGCUGAUUCCUCACCAUCGUAAAAAUGCCUCUCUAUUAUAAUCUCACAUAAAACACUGAUAAAGAGAGAUAACCCUCCUGAUUAUAUCAUGCCUAAUGUCUGUGACUGUGCUAUAUGUCAGCAUAUUAGUAGCGUGCAUAUUUAAGCCUUAAAAAAAAAAAACUUUAAAAGCUUUCUGGCAUCAUGAUUCAUGUAUCAAUUUACACCGUUGAAUACAGCUACCCAAAGGACUCUUAGCAAGUAAUGGCGUUACAGAGGACUUGACCACCUUCGGGGAGCUUGAGUUCGCAUUAAGGAAUCACACCAGAAAACAAGCCGUCUUCUCCGUAUGUGGCGAGCGUUUUGAAGGCAUUCAGGCUGUUUGUUCCCUUUUGCUAUUGUACCUCAUCCUCCACAAUGACAUUUAAGGUCACAGUUUUGACAUAUAAAAUAACCUAUAAAUUCAAACAAUAGGUAACAGUGAUGAGUCUGUCAGCUCUCACCAAAACAAGGCUCUAGAACAAACUAGUGUGUUGGCUGCAUGGGCAUAAGUCCUGCGGCCUGUUCAAAUGAGAGUUAUCACAGACACUGGUCACUCAUAAACGCGCUUAAGGAACAGCUUAGCGUACAGAUGCUGACUGAGUUCAGUGUGCUUUCUUCAUGAGCUUGGGAGGGAGUAAUAUUCUUCAGCUGUUCACUCCAUGGGACUUCAUGUCACCCUCCCAGAAUGGGGUUGACUCUCCUGCUCGUGAUUCAUGGUUGAUUCCAUGACUUGGCUUCAGACUGAAUCAAAAGACCAUUCUUGAUAUGCUACUCAAAAUCCCAUGUGUGGGGACGCAGAAAAUGAUGUAGUGCAUGCUGGUCUUGAUAGGCAGGUGCUUUCCCUUGGAUGGAAACAGGGUAGGCUUAAAGUGGUAAUGGAGAAUGUGCAUACCCGAACACUAGGUCCCUAGCUGGUACCGUCACCCGGAAGAACAGGUGUGUGGACGGAGGUGGAAAUAAGUUGCUAGGAAUGUGCUUGAUAGUGAAGCCCAGCUUCCUGACUGCUCUCUACUUCCUGUCCUGCUAAAAUGUGAAAAACUCAAGGCUUCCCAGCUGUACACUCUCAUAUCCACGCUCCUGCAGCCAUAGCUUCCCUACCCUGACAGACUGAAUCCCCUCAUUCUGUGAGCUGAAACAGCCAUCCUCCCUAAAGUUACUUGCUUCUUGUUGGUUAUUGAGGCACUAAGUAAUGCACACAGAGCUCUGGUAGUCUGAGGGCUGCAUAUGGGAUUAGCUGUCCUUCCUUCCAGGGUGCACUGUCCUGCACUAGGUCUGCAAAGCUAGAGUUGCUGUGGUAGCAACAUCAGUGGACAGGGUUCUGAUGGUCUUCAUAUUUUCCGAGAACUUGAAAGGAAUGGGCAAAGUUGCAGAAUACCCAACCCCUAGCAGUGUGUCCAGAAACCCUGAGUUUUUGUGUAGUGAAGUCCUUCAUUCUGACCCUUCCCUGUGGGCCUCAUCUUACUGUAUGGGGUCAGAUUUCAAUAUGUAGGACUUUCUACUUGUCAAAGUAUUUCCUCUAAUGUUUCUCAUCUUCAGAUUUGCCUGAGAUCAGUCAAGCUUCUGUUUGUCUGGAAAUGUUUGUUUCUUCUAUACCAUUAUUGGAGAACAGUUUAACAGGAUAGGGAAUUCUGUCUGGUCUUCUUACUUGAGCACUUUAAAGCUGUUCUCUUGUCUUAGCACACCCACGAUUUCUGAGAGAACUCAGUGGUUCUCACAUCCAUUUUCCCUUUCCUCUAAAGGGUCCCCCUUCUCAUCAGUUUUUAGCAGUUUGAUUUUGGUGUGUGAUCAUCCCAAUUAGGGUCUGUUGAGCUUCCUGAAUAUGUAAGUUUGUAUUUGUAUCCCCUUUGGGUACUUUUGAUCAUUAUUUCCCUUGUGUGUGUGCGCGGAAUGAACAACUUGUUACGUCCCCACCUCACUGAGGCUCUAUUUUGUAAGCUUUUCUAAUCCUUCGUUUCAGUUUGUAGCUCUCAGACUGUGUCCAAUCUGCUGCUAAACUGCACUCAAGUUUUCUUGGCAUGUACAUUUCUCCCCUAGUUUUUAUCUUGGUCUCUGUUUCCUGCCUUUCCUCCUUUGGCCUUUACAGCUGAACAUUUUUAUGUGACUGUAAUGGCAUCCAUAUUUGUUGGGUCCAUCAUUUCAAGGUCUAUAACUGUGGGCUACAUUUAAAUCGCACUUUCUCUUCCUGCUUGCAUGGUGACCGCUAAGGUAUUCCUUUGUUUAACCUGUGGGUCUUGUUGUCUUUCCUUUUACUGGGGUUUGUACUGAAGGGCUGUUAAUUGACAGGUGAAUCAUCUCAGAAUCCUGGAGGAUUAUUCUUUUUAAGUUCUACUAGACACUGUCUAGAAUAGUAUACUCCUAUAAGAGAUUCUGUAGUGAUGGAGACUUUGUAUCUGUCUUUUCCGGUAUGGUAGCCACUCUAUAGGCUGUUAAAUACUUUGUGACUUUUUUUUUUAAAGAUUUAUUUAUUUAUUAUAUAUAAGUACACUGUCGAUGUCUUCAGACACACCAGAAGAUGGCAUUGGUUCUCAUUACAGAUGGUUGUGAGCCACCAUGUGGUUGCUGGGAUUUGAACUCAGGACCUCUGGAAGAGCAGCUAGUGCUCUUAACCACUGAGCCAUUUCUCCAGCCCCCACUUUGUGACUUCUAAAUCCUAUUUACACUAAGUUAAAUCCACAUAACAUCUGGCUACCACAUUCACUAGCACAGCUCUAAAGCAAAGCCUGCUCUUAGGCCAUUUGCUUCUAAUCCAAGCAGUCAGUAUACGGUUUGCCCAGGCGCUCCUACGGUUUGGUUCCUUAGAACUUGAAUGUCUCCUAAUCCAGGGCUAGCUCCAGCAGUGGCCCAUCUUCCCGCUCUGCUAUAAGACUUGGCCAGAAGUCUUCCCGGCUGACUUGGUGAAGGCCCCCAUUACACAGCUGGUAUCCUUCUGAGCGCUCAAGUGGGUCCUGGUGCAGUCUAGACCUUGAUAGUCUGCUCAGCGUAGUCCGUCUUCCUUAGUCUCCAUAGGCAACCAGCAUUAUGGCUUGGGCUUAGUGAGAUGCCAUCCUUGGCUGGGGCCCUAGCCUAUGUGGAGUCCAUAAUGUGUAUCCAGACAGAAAUGCAGGGUAACAGGCAUUACCUCACUUUAUCCCUCAUCUUUCAGAAGUCACAGCUGGGCACCCACCAAUGGGCUUUGUACAUUUUUCUACUUUUUUUUUUUUAAAGCAGAUUAAUGUGAUACCGUCUUGGUAGGAAAUUUGAAGAUUACAUUAUAUCACCUCCUUUCUCUGUUUCAAGGGGAUAAGGUAGGGAAGUAGUCCUGAAGUAGAGCACUGCCUGGCUUGCAGGCAGCCUAGGCUUAAGUCCCUACUAGUACAGGAGCUAAAAAAGGAGAAUGGGUGGAAGUUGGGUGUUUAUUUCUUAGCACAGUGGAGUAAACAGUCACUUUUUAAGUCAGCGUGAACUUUCAUUGUUAGACUGUUACCACCCAGCAGCCAUUUUCCUUAUGAUUUCUCUAAUUCAGAAUCUUUACUGCUCUGAUGAUUUACUCAUUCAUAUCCCGUGUUGUCUCCUUUGUUCAUUAACCUAUUUUACCCUCUUUGAAAUUAUUCUUCCUUUUAGAAACAACCAUCCGAAUUCUUUGUGCAGCAUUUCAUCCAGUUUUGUGUCCAUCCAUUUUGAAUGAAGUUUUGUAUUUUUAAGAGAUAGGGUCUCACUUAGCCCAACUGGUCAGGCACUGGCUGAGACUAGCAAGGACCUUGAACUCUAAAUUCUCCUGCUUCCACCUCAAGGAAACUAAACUUACAGACCUGUGUGCCACCACCAUGGUUGGUUGACGACAUCAUGUUCUAGCACUGUGCAAUGGAUUUCUUUUUGAGCUAGUUUGCUGCAGAGGAGGGGGUCACUUUCAGACUAACUCCCUGGGCUGGAUCUAAAGUUUGUAAGAAUCAUGGGUUUUCCUGGAACUGUAAUUGCUGGUCUCCCAGUUUACUUCAUUCACACUCCCCCCUCCCCUCCAGGGAGCCAAUCUUAAAACAUGGGCACUCUGGGCCUGAUUCUCUGCUUCGUCCUUUAUCCUUGGAGCUCACCCUGUUUCCUUAUACUCUAGUCUGUCAUUGUCAUGUGAAGUAUAACUUCUAUCCUGCCUUCUUACCCUGGACCUGAAAGGAUUUAAUUGCCUUUUCUGAACGGUCUACGUAACAAUGUUCCUGUGACAGACUUGUAUUCAGUGGAAGACAAGACUAACAGAAUCACUGUAAUUUUUAGUAUAGGUCCCAGGUAGAGCCAACUGCAGAAGCCCCUGCAGACUGACUGCUGUGAGGACACACUUCAGCAGGGACGUGCCCCUGUCUGUCGCUCCAGUCUAGGACAUGCUGAACUCUCAGCUCCCGUUCUCCACUAGACCACUCUAGGGGAAAAGAAAUAGGUGGAGCUUCAACCGGCAAUCUAGAAGGAAAUACUAAAGAAUGAAAAAUACAGAGAAGAAAUUAAAAUAAAAAGCCAAGAUUUUUAUGAAAAAGAUAAACUCGGUAAAGAAACCAGU